CUACGGGCUGCAGCAGUGGGGAAUAUUGCACAAUGGACGAAAGUCUGAUGCAGCGACGCCGCGUGGGGGAUGAAGGUUUUCGGAUUGUAAACCCCUGUUAAGUGGGAAGAAAUACCUGUAAGUAAUAUGUGCAGGGGCUGACGGUACCACUAGAGAAAGCUCCGGCUAACUUCGUGCCAGCAGCCGCGGUAAUACGAAGGGAGCAAGCGUUAUUCGGAAUUACUGGGCGUAAAGAGCGUGCAGGCGGUUAAUUAAGUUGGUUGUUAAAUUCCUUGGCUCAACUGAGGACUCGCAAUCAAUACUGGUUGACUAGAGAGCAAGAGAGAGAAGUGGAAUUCUUGGAGUAGCGGUAAAAUGCAUAGAUCUCAAGAGGAACACCAGUUGCGAAGGCGGCUUUUUGGCUUGUCUCUGACGCUGAAGCGCGAAAGCGUGGGGAGCAAACAGGAUUAGAUACCCCAGUAGUC
RNAcentral lists this ribosomal RNA (464 nucleotides) under uncultured bacterium. RNAcentral's name for it is "partial 16S ribosomal RNA". It matches the Rfam family "Bacterial small subunit ribosomal RNA", at positions 339 to 795 of the family's 1533-position model. The record is from RNAcentral.